RNAcentral lists this transfer RNA (72 nucleotides) under Phytophthora infestans T30-4. It matches the Rfam family "tRNA". Rfam says of the family: Transfer RNA (tRNA) molecules are approximately 80 nucleotides in length. Their secondary structure includes four short double-helical elements and three loops (D, anti-codon, and T loops). Further hydrogen bonds mediate the characteristic L-shaped molecular structure. tRNAs have two regions of fundamental functional importance: the anti-codon, which is responsible for specific mRNA codon recognition, and the 3' end, to which the tRNAs corresponding amino acid is attached (by aminoacyl-tRNA synthetases). tRNAs cope with the degeneracy of the genetic code in two manners: having more than one tRNA (with a specific anti-codon) for a particular amino acid; and 'wobble' base-pairing, i.e. permitting non-standard base-pairing at the 3rd anti-codon position. Lineage: Eukaryota; Oomycota; Peronosporomycetes; Peronosporales; Peronosporaceae. The record is from Rfam by way of RNAcentral.
ACCCGUCUAGCUCAGUCGGUAGAGCGCUGGCCUUUUAAGCCAGUGGUCGUGGGUUCGAUCCCCAUGGGGGUG